CAAAUUUUGUGGUAAUAUGUAUUUCACUGUAUAUACAGUUUACAGCUCAGUUCAUAUGCUGUUUUCUGACACAUUCCAUCAAAGGGCUCUAUUCCACCAAAAAAUAUUAGAGAUCUGAAACAUUUUCUGAUUAUAGUUGCCACUGCAGGGCAAGGCAUUAUGCCAACAUUCCCAAUGGUUCCUCAGUCAAUAGUCCCAGAGGUCCAGCUUGAACAUCCACCUUGGUCUGAAUGCUUCAGAUGGUUGAAGAUCUUGUCCUUUGCCUUUUUCUCAAACUUCUUGGCCACAGAUGUUUCAGAACUGUGUUGUGUACUGCACCAUAAUUCAGUUCUUUCCCAAAGUAUCAAGAUGAUAAGAGGCUGCUCCAGGGAGAAUCUGGAAGCUACACAUGAUCAAGAUGAGGGCUGAUCAAUUUAUGGAGACUCCUUUAUCAUCCCCUGAUAAAGGACAGAUCACUCCAGAAACUGAUUGAUUGUGUCCCUCAAUUGCCUGAGUUUCAUAAGAUUUUCUUGACUAGUUAUCAAUGUUUGACAUACUUUAUAUCUUCAGACUGAGACCAGUCAACACUGCUGAUGCCUCUGUAGAAAGCUUCUAUAAAAUGACAGCAAAGUAAAUAGUGCAAUGCAUCACCAUGCUGAAUGCCACAGGGAUAGCUACCAUUGCUUUCCUGUAUGAUGGAGAAAUAAUAAAGAAAGAACCUGUGAUUUUUUUUUAAUAUUUGACUAUAUAUACAGUGCAAUGAUCUUUUAUUCUUACCAUAUUUAUUUUGUAGCAUUAAAUAUAGAAAUAACUGCAUAUUUGAUUCUGAAUUGUCAUAGAAAAUUGUUAUUUGAAUGCACAGUUUUAUAAAUUAUCUAAAUAAUUACUAUAUUUAGUUGUACAAUAUUCUCCC
RNAcentral lists this long non-coding RNA (892 nucleotides) under Androctonus crassicauda. Lineage: Eukaryota; Metazoa; Arthropoda; Arachnida; Scorpiones; Buthidae. The record is from RNAcentral.